AAAGUGGAGCAAUCCAUGAGUAAAGUGGCGUACGGGUGAGUAACACGUGGAUCAUCUACCUUUUAGUGGGGAAUACCCCCGGGAAACUGGGGACAAUACCGCAUAAGCUCGUAAGAGGAAAGCAGCAAUGCGCUGAAAGAGGAGUCCGCGGCUGAUUAGCUAGUUGGCGGGGUAACGGCCCACCAAGGCGAAGAUCGGUAGCCGGCCUGAGAGGGCACACGGCCACACUGGCACUGAAACACGGGCCAGACUCCUACGGGAGGCAGCAGUGGGGAAUCUUGCACAAUGGAGGAAACUCUGAUGCAGCGACGCCGCGUGAGCGAUGAAGCCCUUCGGGGUGUAAAGCUCUUUCGACGGGAACGAUAAUGACGGUACCCGAAGAAGAAGCUGCGGCUAACUACGUGCCAGCAGCCGCGGUAAUACGUAGGCAGCAAGCGUUGUUCGGAAUUACUGGGCGUAAAGAGUGUGUAGGCGGUGUUCUAAGUCUGUUGUGAAAUCUCCCGGCUUAACUGGGAGGGUGCGGCGGAGACUGGAAUGCUAGAGUAUGGGAGAGGUAAGCGGAAUUCCUGGUGUAGCGGUGAAAUGCGUAGAUAUCAGGAGGAACACCUGUGGUGUAGACAGCUUACUGGACCAUGACUGACGCUGAGACACGAAAGCGUGGGUAGCAAACAGGAUUAGAUACCCUGGUAGUCCACGCCCUAAACGAUGCAUACUUGGUGUGAGCCAUUCAUUUGGUUCGUGCCGGAGCUAACGCGUUAAGUAUGCCGCCUGGGGAGUACGGUCGCAAGGCUGAAACUC
Molecule: ribosomal RNA, 798 nt
Filed under: uncultured Bacillota bacterium
Lineage: Bacteria; Bacillati; Bacillota
Description: bacterial SSU rRNA
Rfam family: Bacterial small subunit ribosomal RNA
Source: RNAcentral